GACGAACGCUGGCGGCGUGCUUAGCACAUGCAAGUCGAACGGAAAGGCCCUGCUUUUGUGGGGUGCUCGAGUGGCGAACGGGUGAGUAACACGUGAGUAACCUGCCCUUGACUUUGGGAUAACUUCAGGAAACUGGGGCUAAUACCGGAUAGGAGCUCCUGCUGCAUGGUGGGGGUUGGAAAGUUUCGGCGGUUGGGGAUGGACUCGCGGCUUAUCAGCUUGUUGGUGGGGUAGUGGCUUACCAAGGCUUUGACGGGUAGCCGGCCUGAGAGGGUGACCGGCCACAUUGGGACUGAGAUACGGCACAGACUCCUACGGGAGGCAGCAGUGGGGAAUAUUGCACAAUGGGCGGAAGCCUGAUGCAGCAACGCCGCGUGCGGGAUGACGGCCUUCGGGUUGUAAACCGCUUUCGCCUGUGACGAAGCGUGAGUGACGGUAAUGGGUAAAGAAGCACCGGCUAACUACGUG
RNAcentral lists this ribosomal RNA (468 nucleotides) under uncultured bacterium. Its description in RNAcentral is "partial 16S ribosomal RNA". It matches the Rfam family "Bacterial small subunit ribosomal RNA", at positions 28 to 507 of the family's 1533-position model. The record is from RNAcentral.